UACGUAGGGACCAAGCGUUGUUCGGAUUUACUGGGCGUAAAGGGCGCGUAGGCGGCGUGGUAAGUCACUUGUGAAAUCUCUGAGCUUAACUCAGAACGGCCAAGUGAUACUGCUGUGCUAGAGUGCAGAAGGGGCAAUCGGAAUUCCGGGUGUAGUGGUGGAAUACGUAGAUAUCCGGAGGAACACUAGCGGCGAAGGCGGCUUUCUGGUCUGAUACUGACGCUGAGGCGCGAAAGCGUGGGGAGCGAUCCGG
This 253-nucleotide ribosomal RNA is filed under the name uncultured bacterium. RNAcentral describes it as "partial 16S ribosomal RNA". It matches the Rfam family "Bacterial small subunit ribosomal RNA", at positions 524 to 776 of the family's 1533-position model. The record is from RNAcentral.